This is a long non-coding RNA of Branchiostoma floridae (Florida lancelet), 1260 nucleotides long. RefSeq lists it as uncharacterized. The transcript is spliced from 3 exons. NCBI's taxonomy places the organism in Eukaryota, Metazoa, Chordata, Leptocardii, Amphioxiformes, Branchiostomatidae. The record is from RefSeq and is a predicted model, not a curated record.
GUAAAAGAAACUCCGGUGCGAGACCACAGCCAAAGGCGGGAAGAGGUCCCGGAUGUGCAUUGUCGUUCUUUCUUCGUGACAGAAAUUUCACAGGCAGACAUGGUACGAAUAUGUAAUGAACAGAUUAUGGACGGUCAAUACUUCUCAAGCUUCUGAAUCGUUUGGAUAUGAAAAUUAUCGUGCUGAAGAUAUUUAUACGUGUCUGGGGGAUCCUACCAGACAACUUGUAUAACCAAUCAGAAACCAGUCUGCGAUUCUCCGCCAAUCAACGAUCAAAUUGGCGUGUUGCUUUCUACCACGUCCGUAAUAGGGAUGUCUGAAUCUUAAUUUGCAUACGGCAGCAUAUAUAAACAUGUUAUGGUGGGUCCGGUGAGGCCGGAGUUGCGUCCUUGACUGGUUUGCGUGGGGUGCGGAUCCAUUGUGUACAGGUGUGAGUUGGACUGUCAGGUUGACUGAGGGACGACGGGACGCUAGAUUCUUGGUCGUUUUGUUAGCAGUGUCUUGUGCUAAGGAUGGAGACACCAUCGGAGAUGUCGGGAUAUGUGCACAACGUGUCGCCAAUGAAAGACGGGGCAAAGUCAAAGUUUUUCCGGUUUGAUUUUCAAACUUCAGAAGACGAGUCUAGGAAAGGAAUCUGUUUUAGUCCUCAGAAGAGGAGUUUCUUUUGUGAGAAAGAACAGAGCAGCAGCCCAUGCAAAAUCAGUAAAGUGAGCAGUUGUUCGAUGAGAUCAAGCGACUUUGUGGUUAAUGAGAAGAGUUCCGUGGAGUCGACAGCAGAUGUGGGAUUUCCAGCAAAACGACCUAGUAUUAGGUCUGUAAGUGUUAAGGACAUUAGCUACCUCUCUGUGAAUGAUGUUGUAAGAGUCAAUGUGAAGGUGCUUUCCAUUGAUAAAACAGAGAAAGUUACAGUUAACUCAGGUGAUGAGCGAGAGAAGACAGAUGUUAUCGUAGGUGACACAAGUGGAGCUGUUCGCUUGUGUGUUUGGCAGCCACAUGUGUUAGAGUUAGGGCGUAGCUAUGGUGUGGACGCUAAAGUUAAGUUGUUUGCCAGAAGACGAUUUCUGAGCACGUUUCCUGAGUCAGUGGUGAACGAAGUAGGUCCUAUAUAUGCCCCAGAUGGGAUUCAACAGAUAGACCAGGUCAGAGCAACCGGUACAAUCAUUGGAAGUCAAGUACUUAGCAGGUUUUACAAAUGUAACUCAUGUAAAAGGAAGAUCGAUCCGACAGAAACAAAGUUUCUGUGUUGCCCUCACUGCAACA